AGUGAACGCUGGCGGUAGGCCUAACACAUGCAAGUCGAACGGCAGCACAGUAAGAGCUUGCUCUUACGGGUGGCGAGUGGCGGACGGGUGAGGAAUACAUCGGAAUCUACUUUUUCGUGGGGGAUAACGUAGGGAAACUUACGCUAAUACCGCAUACGACCUACGGGUGAAAGCAGGGGAUCUUCUGACCUUGCGCGAUUGAAUGAGCCGAUGUCGGAUUAGCUAGUUGGCGGGGUAAAGGCCCACCAAGGCGACGAUCCGUAGCUGGUCUGAGAGGAUGAUCAGCCACACUGGAACUGAGACACGGUCCAGACUCCUACGGGAGGCAGCAGUGGGGAAUAUUGGACAAUGGGCGCAAGCCUGAUCCAGCCAUACCGAGUGGGUGAAGAAGGCGUUCGGGUUGUAAAGACCUUUUGUGGGGAAAGAAAAGCAGCAGGUUAAUACCCCGCUGUUCUGACGGUACCCAAAGAAUAAGCACCGGCUAACUUCGUG
Molecule: ribosomal RNA, 492 nt
Filed under: uncultured bacterium
Lineage: Bacteria
Description: partial 16S ribosomal RNA
Rfam family: Bacterial small subunit ribosomal RNA
Source: RNAcentral